RNAcentral lists this unclassified non-coding RNA (250 nucleotides) under Hevea brasiliensis (rubber tree). The record is from RNAcentral. Lineage: Eukaryota; Viridiplantae; Streptophyta; Magnoliopsida; Malpighiales; Euphorbiaceae.
AAUUCUAGCUUGAACUUUGGCAGGUUCUUUUCCAUUGCAUUCAACAGCACCAUUAAUGGCUUUAAUCGUAGCUCCAAAACCUUGGGUCACAGAAGGGCGGACAUUUUGCAUCCAAUACCAUAAGGCAGUCUUGAAUGAUAUGACAGGAUCUGUGGCCACAAUUUCAGGAUUGUUCAGCCCAUCAAAACCGAUGCUUUUACCAGCUGCUCCGUAGUUGUAGUUCCAUGUUAGUUGAAGUGGACCGCGCCCG